GACGAACGCUGGCGGCGUGCCUAAUACAUGCAAGUAGAACGCUGAAGGAGGAGCUUUCUUCUCUGGAUGAGUUGCGAACGGGUGAGUAACGCGUAGGUAACCUGCCUGGUACCUUGGGAUAACUAUUGGAAACUAUAGCUAAUACCGCAUAAGAGUAGCUGUUGCAUGACAUUUGCUUAAAAGGUGCAAUUGCAUCACUACCACUUGGACCUGCGUUGUAUUAGCUAGUUGGUGGGGUAACGGCUCACCAAGGCGACGAUACAUAGACGACCUGAGACGGUGGACAGCCACACUGAGAGGGAGACAGGGCACAGUGGGCCUCAGAAAGAAGCAAGAGGGAAGCGUGAGGAAGGGAAGGAAGACAGACCGAGAAAGGCAGAGGGAGGGAAGAAGAUUGUCGGAUCGUAAAGGUCGGUUGUAAGAGAAGAACGAGAGUGAGAGUGGAAAGAACACUGAGUGACGGUACCUUAUAAGGAAGAGACGGCUAACUACGUG
Molecule: ribosomal RNA, 495 nt
Filed under: uncultured bacterium
Lineage: Bacteria
Description: partial 16S ribosomal RNA
Rfam family: Bacterial small subunit ribosomal RNA
Source: RNAcentral